UGGGGAAUAUUGGACAAUGGGCGAAAGCCUGAUCCAGCAAUGCCGCGUGAGUGAUGAAGGCCUUAGGGUUGUAAAGCUCUUUUACCAGGGAUGAUAAUGACAGUACCUGGAGAAUAAGCUCCGGCUAACUCCGUGCCAGCAGCCGCGGUAAUACGGAGGGAGCUAGCGUUGUUCGGAAUUACUGGGCGUAAAGCGCGCGUAGGCGGUUUUUUAAGUCAGAGGUGAAAGCCCAGUGCUCAACACUGGAACUGCCUUUGAAACUGGAAAACUUGAAUCUUGGAGAGGUCAGUGGAAUUCCGAGUGUAGAGGUGAAAUUCGUAGAUAUUCGGAAGAACACCAGUGGCGAAGGCGACUGACUGGACAAGUAUUGACGCUGAGGUGCGAAAGCGUGGGGAGCGAAACAGGAUUAGAUACCCUGGUAGUCCACGCCGUAAACGAUGAUAACUAGCUGUCCGGGUUCAGUAGAAC
RNAcentral lists this ribosomal RNA (468 nucleotides) under uncultured Pseudomonadota bacterium. RNAcentral's name for it is "bacterial SSU rRNA". It matches the Rfam family "Bacterial small subunit ribosomal RNA", at positions 355 to 838 of the family's 1533-position model. Lineage: Bacteria; Pseudomonadati; Pseudomonadota. The record is from RNAcentral.